This 351-nucleotide unclassified non-coding RNA is filed under the name soil metagenome. RNAcentral describes it as "partial contains 5.8S ribosomal RNA, internal transcribed spacer 2, and large subunit ribosomal RNA". The stretch from base 1 to 119 matches the Rfam family "5.8S ribosomal RNA", at positions 35 to 154 of the family's 154-position model. The record is from RNAcentral.
GAUGAAGAACGCAGCGAAAUGCGAUAAGUAUGUGAAUUGCAGAAUUCAGUGAAUCAUCGAAUCUUUGAACGCACAUUGCGCCCGCCAGUAUUCUGGCGGGCAUGCCUGUUCGAGCGUCAUUACAACCCUCAGGCCCCCGGGCCUGGCGUUGGGGAUCGGCGGAGCCCCCCGUGGGCACACGCCGUCCCCCAAAUGCAGUGGCGGUCCCGCCGCAGCUUCCAUCGCGUAGUAGCUAACACCUCGCGACUGGAGAGCGGCGCGGCCACGCCGUAAAACACCCAACUCUUCUGAAGUUGACCUCGAAUCAGGUAGGAAUACCCGCUGAACUUAAGCAUAUCAAUAAGCGGAGGA